This 460-nucleotide ribosomal RNA is filed under the name uncultured bacterium. RNAcentral's name for it is "partial 16S ribosomal RNA". It matches the Rfam family "Bacterial small subunit ribosomal RNA", at positions 338 to 795 of the family's 1533-position model. The record is from RNAcentral.
CCUACGGGAGGCAGCAGUGAGGAAUAUUGGUCAAUGGACGAGAGUCUGAACCAGCAAAGUAGCGUGAAGGAUGACUGCCCUAUGGGUUGUAAACUUCUUUUAUAUGGGAGUAAAAUGUUCCACGUGUGGGAUUUUGUAUGUCCCAUAUGAAUAAGGCUCGGCUAACUCCGUGCCAGCAGCCGCGGUAAUACGGAGGAUGCGAGCGUUAUCCGGAUUUCUUGGGUUUAAAGGGAGCGUAGGUGGAUUGUUAAGUCAGUUGUGAAAGUUUGCGGCUCAACCGUGAAAUUGCAGUUGAAACUGGCAGUCUUGAGUACAGGAGAGGUGAGCGGAAUUCGUGGUGUAGCGGUGAAAUGCUUAGAUAUCACGAAGAACACCAGUGGCGAAGGCAGCUCACUGGACUGCAACUGACACUGAGGCUCGAAAGUGUGGGUAGCAAACAGGAUUAGAUACCCUAGUAGUC